AGAUUGAACGCUGGCGGCAUGCCUUACACAUGCAAGUCGAACGGUAACGCGGGGCAACCGGGCGACGAGUGGCGAACGGGUGAGUAAUGCAUCGGAACGUGCCCAGUAGUGGGGGAUAGCCCGGCGAAAGCCGGAUUAAUACCGCAUACGACCUACGGGUGAAAGCGGGGGACUCGCAAGAGCCUCGCGCUAUUGGAGCGGCCGAUGUCAGAUUAGCUAGUUGGUGGGUAAAAGCCUACCAAGCGACGAUCUGUAGCUGGUCUGAGAGGACGACCAGCCACACUGGGACUGAGACACGGCCCAGACUCCUACGGGAGGCAGGCAGUGGGGAAUUUGGACAAGUGGGACGCAAGCCUGACUCCAGCCAGUGCCGCGUGCGGAAGA
This 384-nucleotide ribosomal RNA is filed under the name uncultured soil bacterium. Its description in RNAcentral is "bacterial SSU rRNA". It matches the Rfam family "Bacterial small subunit ribosomal RNA", at positions 26 to 411 of the family's 1533-position model. The record is from RNAcentral.